CGCCUCUUGAUAACCCAUAAGAGGUCCAGCCUGCCCAGUGACAAAGUUAAACGGCCGCGGUACCCUAACCGUGCAAAGGUAGCGCAAUCACUUGUUCUUUAAAUGAGGACCGGUAUGAACGGCAUCACGAGGGUUAUACUGUCUCCCCACUCAACUCAGUGAAACUGAUCUUCCCGUGAAGAAGCGGGAAUAAGAAUAUAAGACGAGAAGACCCCAUGGAGCUUAAAACUCAGAAUCAACUGCCUCAUUUACAACCUCACAACCACGCAGCCAUGAUCUCUAGUUUUCGGUUGGGGUGACCACGGAGUAAAACACAACCUCCAUGAUGAAAGGAACUAAUACCCUAAUCUAAGGGCGACAGCCCUAAGAAUUAAUACAUUAACCCAAUUGAUCCAAUCACUUGAUCAACGAACCAAGUUACCCUGGGGAUAACAGCGCAAUCCAUUUCAAGAGCUCAUAUCGACAAAUGGGUUUACGACCUCGAUGUUGGAUCAGGAUAUCCCAGUGGCGCAGCCGCUACUAACGGUUCGUUUGUUCAACGAUUAAAAUCCU
RNAcentral lists this ribosomal RNA (552 nucleotides) under Microhyla pulchra. RNAcentral describes it as "partial 16S ribosomal RNA". It matches the Rfam family "Bacterial large subunit ribosomal RNA", at positions 1817 to 2597 of the family's 2925-position model. Lineage: Eukaryota; Metazoa; Chordata; Amphibia; Anura; Microhylidae. The record is from RNAcentral.